RNAcentral lists this long non-coding RNA (807 nucleotides) under Malus domestica (apple). RNAcentral describes it as "long non-coding RNA (MDOM_LNC020210)". Lineage: Eukaryota; Viridiplantae; Streptophyta; Magnoliopsida; Rosales; Rosaceae. The record is from RNAcentral.
AUGAAAUGUACAACCCGUACUCUAGUUCAUGCCACUAACCAGGUGAUGAAAUGUACAACCCGUACUCUAAUAUCAUUUGGCAACUUGCCAUUCAUGGCACCAAUCAGGUGAUGAAAUGUACAACCCGUACUCUCCUUCAUGCCACCAACCAGGUGAUGAAAUGUAUAACUUGUACUCUAAUAUCAUUUGGCAACUUGCCACUCAUGCCACCAACCAGGUGAUGAAAUGUACAACCUGUACUCUAAUAUCAUUUGGCAACUUUCCAUUCAUGCCACUAACCAGAUGAAUAAGGAACUCAUCCUCAUGCCACCAACCAGCUGAUGAAAUGUGAUGAAAGGUGAUGAAUGAACUCACCUUCGUACCACCAACCAAGUGAUGAAAGCAACUCACCAUUCAUUCCACCUACUAGAAGACGAGUGGUACAACUUGUACAUGUGAACUCCUAGCAUUCACAAAUAAUAAAAAACCCUCAAGCUUAACAACUCAACUAGGGGAGCAAUUAUGCCCAACAAGAGUUAUAUGUUGGAAAUAUGCCCUGAAAGUCAAUCUUUGGAAGAAAUCUUUUAGGACAAAUGAAUGGAUGUAUGGAUGAAUCUUAUACAUCAAAUGGCAAAGACACGAAUUAGGACUAUCUCAAUAAACGACAUAUGUCCUAAAUAGUGUAUCCAUGGACAAUGGAUCGAUUGGAGAAGUAAUCUAAUGAUGUUAGACUACAGAGACCUUCUUCACAUAACCAUUAUGUCCAAAAGGUUCCUGGUCAUUGGAUUGUCGGAGGGAUACUGACAAUGCGUAGACCGGUACAUACUA